CUAAGUUCAGCGGGUAUUCCUACCUGAUCCGAGGUCAACAUUCAGAAGUUGGGGUUUUACGGCAUGGCCGCGCCGCGUUCCAGUUGCGAGGUGUUAGCUACUACGCAAUGGAGGCUGCAGCGAGACCGCCAAUGUAUUUCGGGGGCGGCGCCGCCCAGAAGGGCAGAGCCGAUCCCCAACACCAAACCCGGGGGCUUGAG
Molecule: unclassified non-coding RNA, 200 nt
Filed under: Fusarium sp.
Lineage: Eukaryota; Fungi; Ascomycota; Sordariomycetes; Hypocreales; Nectriaceae
Description: partial internal transcribed spacer 2
Source: RNAcentral